This is a long non-coding RNA of Diospyros lotus (date-plum), 1231 nucleotides long. RefSeq lists it as uncharacterized. The record is from RefSeq and is a predicted model, not a curated record. NCBI's taxonomy places the organism in Eukaryota, Viridiplantae, Streptophyta, Magnoliopsida, Ericales, Ebenaceae. The transcript has 5 exons.
ACACGCACUACCGAUUUAGGUGGAGAUGCCUCACUUCCCACACAUGCUUCAGCAUCAUUGUCAGCUCCACCACAACCCCCAGCAUCAUCCCCAGCUCCACCACAACCUCUAGCAUCCUCCCUAUCUCCACCACAGCCUCUAGCAUCCUCCAUAUCUCCACCACAGCCUCCAUUAUCUUCCCAUGCCCCAUCACAACCUCCAGGAGCUAGCCAGACUCCAUCAGAAUCAUCCACCCCACAUCUAUCUCAGGAUUUUUGAUCGACACACUCAUCUACAUCACACCAUUACUGGACAGUUAAUGUGAUAGGUAUGCACAAAAUAUUUAAAUUGAGUGUAAUUAUUAUAUACUUGCAUUAAUUAUUAAAUUAGGUAUAUGUAUUUUGAUUGACAGAUGAACAGGGAGUUAUAAAACAAGAAAAGCUAAGGGUUAAGGAUGUUUGGUUACUUGCACGUGGAAGGCAUGUCAUGUUAGAGUUUAAUGAAUCACUCCAACGAAUAGGAGAUUCAGCUGGACUUUUUGGAGGGAUUUUAGGAGAGUUAGCUUCUGAUUUUGUUACUUUUCCUGUCAAUUACGAAAGCUGGCAUAAAGUUCCCAACGCAUAUAAAGAUGAAAUUUACAAAAAUAGAGUCAUGGAAAAAUUUAAUGUUGACGAAGGACAUGUGAAGAAUUUCAUUUUGAGAAACAUUGGAAAAAAAUAGAAGGAUAAUAGAUGCAAGUUAUACCACGAGUACUAUGAUCCCACUAUUGGUCAAGAGGCAAAUCUUGCCAAACAUCCACCAGGAAUCUCACAAGACCAGUGGGAGAUGUGUCUACAAAAUAGUGAAAAUCGAUCCAAAUUGACAAUCCCAAACACUGGAGGAUCAAAGAGUCUGGCAAGAAAAAAACAUGAGAUGGAAAUUGAGAGUGGUCAGCUAGUGAGUACGGAUUUAUUAUACAUCGCGACACAUAAGAAGAAAGACAAAUCUUUUGUGAAUGAAGGAGCACGAACUAGAAGCGCACCAUAUACGAAUAGUGGACAAGCUUCACCAGCGGCAAGGCGGUCUUCGAUAUCUAGUCAUAACAUUAAUCACCCACAACAACCUCCAGACCAACAAAAUUGAUGUAUUGUUAAAAUAUUUGAACGACUUGACCUCUAAACUUUUUAAAUUUCAUUUUGAUAUGUAACUCUAUUUUGAUUGGACUUUGAUAUGUUACAUGUUUGGAUAUUUAAGUUGGAUUGAAUAUUUAUAG